RNAcentral lists this ribosomal RNA (280 nucleotides) under uncultured bacterium. RNAcentral describes it as "partial 16S ribosomal RNA". It matches the Rfam family "Bacterial small subunit ribosomal RNA", at positions 773 to 1060 of the family's 1533-position model. The record is from RNAcentral.
GUGGAUUAGAUACCCGGGUAGUCCACGCCGUAAACGAUGGAUACUAGCUGUUGGGGGCAACUUCAGUGGCUAAGCGAAAGUGAUAAGUAUCCCACCUGGGGAGUACGAACGCAAGUUUGAAACUCAAAGGAAUUGACGGGGGCCCGCACAAGCGGUGGAGCAUGUGGUUUAAUUCGAUGAUACGCGAGGAACCUUACCAAGGCUUAAAUGUAGAUUGACAGGUUUGGAAACAGACUUUUCUUCGGACAAUUUACAAGGUGCUGCACGGUUGUCGUCAGCU